CCUUUGACGUUAGCGGCGGACGGGUGAGUAACACGUGGGUAACCUACCUAUAAGACUGGGAUAACUUCGGGAAACCGGAGCUAAUACCGGAUAAUACUUCGAACCGCAUGGUUCGAUAGUGAAAGAUGGUUUUGCUAUCACUUAUAGAUGGACCCGCGCCGUAUUAGCUAGUUGGUAAGGUAACGGCUUACCAAGGCGACGAUACGUAGCCGACCUUAGAGGGUGAUCGGCCACACUGGAACUGAGACACGGUCCAGACUCCUACGGGAGGCAGCAGCU
This 279-nucleotide ribosomal RNA is filed under the name uncultured Staphylococcus sp. Its description in RNAcentral is "partial 16S ribosomal RNA". It matches the Rfam family "Bacterial small subunit ribosomal RNA", at positions 83 to 355 of the family's 1533-position model. The record is from RNAcentral. Lineage: Bacteria; Bacillati; Bacillota; Bacilli; Caryophanales; Staphylococcaceae.